Kluyveromyces lactis is the source of this 90-nucleotide transfer RNA. It matches the Rfam family "tRNA". Rfam says of the family: Transfer RNA (tRNA) molecules are approximately 80 nucleotides in length. Their secondary structure includes four short double-helical elements and three loops (D, anti-codon, and T loops). Further hydrogen bonds mediate the characteristic L-shaped molecular structure. tRNAs have two regions of fundamental functional importance: the anti-codon, which is responsible for specific mRNA codon recognition, and the 3' end, to which the tRNAs corresponding amino acid is attached (by aminoacyl-tRNA synthetases). tRNAs cope with the degeneracy of the genetic code in two manners: having more than one tRNA (with a specific anti-codon) for a particular amino acid; and 'wobble' base-pairing, i.e. permitting non-standard base-pairing at the 3rd anti-codon position. NCBI's taxonomy places the organism in Eukaryota, Fungi, Ascomycota, Saccharomycetes, Saccharomycetales, Saccharomycetaceae. The record is from Rfam.
UUCCUCGUGGCCCAAUGGUCACGGCGUCUGGCUACGAUGUUAGCUACUUCUGAAACCAGAAGAUUCCAGGUUCGAGUCCUGGCGGGGAAG